RNAcentral lists this ribosomal RNA (406 nucleotides) under uncultured bacterium. RNAcentral describes it as "partial 16S ribosomal RNA". It matches the Rfam family "Bacterial small subunit ribosomal RNA", at positions 30 to 526 of the family's 1533-position model. The record is from RNAcentral.
AUUGAACGCUGGCGGCAGGCCUAACACAUGCAAGUCGAACGAGUGGCGGACGGGUGAGUAAUGUCUGGGCAACUGCCUGAUGGAGGGGGAUAACUACUGGAAACGGUAGCUAAUACCGCAUACCAUCAGAUGUGCCCAGAUGGGAUUAGCUAGUUGGUGGGGUAAAGGCUCACCAAGGCGACGAUCCCUAGCUGGACUGAGAGGAUGACCAGCCACACUGGAACUGAGACACGGCCCAGAAUCCUACGUGAGGCAGCAGUGGGGAAUAUUGCACAAUGGGCGCAAGCCUGAUACAGCCAUGCCGCGUGUAUGAAGAAGGCCUUCGGGUUGUAAAGUACUGUCAGCGGGGAGGCGUUACCCGCAGAAGAAGCACCGGCUAACUCCGUGCCAGCAGCCGCGGUAAUAC